Molecule: long non-coding RNA, 1410 nt
Organism: Oncorhynchus nerka (sockeye salmon)
Lineage: Eukaryota; Metazoa; Chordata; Actinopteri; Salmoniformes; Salmonidae
Exons: 4
Source: RefSeq, a predicted model, not a curated record
AAUGACAAUUAAUCAUGAUAUCCUGUGUUUUACCUUUGAAAGAAUUGUCUCUUGUUAUAUGCUAGUGUUUUUCUAACCUGAUACAAUCUUGUCUUUGUGGAACUUAGUCAUAAGACUGGGCGUAUAGCUAUGGUCCGCUUGGGUGAGGCCGCAGCAUGUGACAUCCCGUGGGUUUACUGCCUACAGAAAGUCACGUACGGAAACUUGCAGAAAGGAGCACAUGUUUUGCUGUUGUGAAUGCAGUUAGACGGUUGAUUCCUCGUGCUAUCAACCUUGUGCUAUCUUGAGUCUGCACACACAACUAAAUACCUUUUACACACUAUCUGCUGAAUGUCACGUAUUCAAAAAGGAUGUGCUUCUCUAUAAAAACUUUGAACCGGCACUGUUCGUUGAGCUUUUCAAAUAUUCCAAAACAAAUUGGUGACAACGGUGGGAUGCCAACUCCUCUUCCUGAUUGUUCCCGGGAGACUGAGGGUAAACUGCUCGCAGUGGCUCCGUUAAACGUGAGUCAGGUUACCACACACGGACUAAAACCGAGCAGAGAAGGACACGCCUCGGACCUGCUGAGAGUGUCACUGACUGUGUUGGGGGCAUGCCAGGGCCCCAAUGUAAUCGCGGCCUGCCCGUGUACCAGGAGUGCUGCUGUCAGUAGAGAACGUGUGCUCCAGCUCAGACGAAAGGCAACUGCAGUUCCAACCUUGUCCAGUAGAGUGCAGUAGAGGACAAGUAUCAUCAUGGGGCAUCACCAGAAUUAUCAGACUACAGAUAUUCUGCUCUCCUUGGUCCAAGAGGCUGAGACAGAAGCCCAUCUCUGGGUCAGCACCCCAAAGAGAGAGAGGGAGUUGACGAGGGGGGUGGAAUAGAGGGCCCUAUAAGUGAAUGAUCUGCUCAUCGUGGAUGCGUCCCAAGUGGCAUCCUAUUCCAUACUAAGUGCACUAAAUUUGACCAAGGCUCUUAGGAAAUAGGAUGCCAUUUGGGAGGCAUACAGUGACCAAACCAGGCAAUUUUUUCCUGCUGUGCAGACUGCAAUAGCAUCUAACUGUUCUUGAACAGCUCUGCUGCUCUUUCUUUAAGCCUGCUUUUACAUGAAUGUAUCAGCCUCUGUGUAACCUUAGUCACUUUCUAUUGAAAUUCUAAAGCAGUAACAAUUUGAUAUAUUAUAAAACAAUCACAGAAUGUAUGAAGUUUAACUGAACCUCUUUAAGCUUUAAAUAUUUCCUGAGCUAAUAUAUUUUAAUGUGCCUCACCACCAAUGUCAUGUUAUGAUAAUCGAAUGUGGAAUUGUUUACUGUUAUGUUGCUCUGUGUAGAAUUGUAAAACAAAAUAUAUAUCAAAUGUAUGUUGCAAUGUUGAUGACACUGAUUACUCAAUGUAUUUAUUUACAGUAUAUUACACCUAUGUCUGCCUCUG